AAUAAACGCUGGCGGCGUGCCUAACACAUGCAAGUCGAACGAGAAAGCCAUGACUUCGGUUGGGCGAGUAAAGUGGCGCACGGGUGAGUAACGCGUAGGCAACCUACCCUUGAAUUUGGGAUAACAGUGCGAAAGUGCUGCUAAUACCGGAUACGACCCUUUUGUGCUGGGCAAAAGGGUGAAAGUCGGCCACUGGAACAAGCCGACGUUCGGGGAUGGGCCUGCGUCCUAUCAGCUGGUUGGUAGGGUAACGGCCUACCAAGGCGACGACGGGUAGCUGGUCUGAGAGGAUGAUCAGCCACACUGGCACUGGAACACGGGCCAGACUCCUACGGGAGGCAGCAGUGAGGAAUUUUGCGCAAUGGCCGCAAGGCUGACGCAGCAACGCCGCGUGGGUGAAGAAGGCCUUCGGUCGGUUAAGGACCCUCGUCAGGUGGGAAGGAACGACAACGGGAGGGAAGUAUAGCUCUGUGAGGUGACGGUACCACCACGAGGAAGGACACCGGCCGUAACUACCCGUGCCG
This 524-nucleotide ribosomal RNA is filed under the name uncultured bacterium. RNAcentral's name for it is "bacterial SSU rRNA". It matches the Rfam family "Bacterial small subunit ribosomal RNA", at positions 29 to 510 of the family's 1533-position model. The record is from RNAcentral.